This 2130-nucleotide unclassified non-coding RNA is filed under the name Hevea brasiliensis (rubber tree). Lineage: Eukaryota; Viridiplantae; Streptophyta; Magnoliopsida; Malpighiales; Euphorbiaceae. The record is from RNAcentral.
GUCCCUUCUCUACUACCUAUAUAAUUAUUGCAUAAACAGAUUAUGUUUGUGCACUGAUAUAGAAUCAACACACAGCCCCGGCCGCCCACUUUCUCUGUUUCUUCCCACUUCCAAGACACACAAAAAUAUGGAAAGAGGGUGCAUAGAAGAAGGGCUGCCGACGACGAGGCCUUUGCUUCUUGAUGCACAGCCGCCGCCCAACACUAUUCAUGAGAUUAGUAACUUCAACAGAGCGGCCAGAGAUUCCUCCAUCGCUUCAGUUCUUUUCCUUAGCACCUUCAUCGCUGUCUGUGGCUCCUUCUGCUAUGGCUGUUCCGUGGGUUAUUCGUCGCCGGCAGAAUCUGGAAUCAUGCAAGACUUAGGCCUCUCUUUGGCAGCAGUUAGUAACUGACCAUUUCCGAUGAUGAUGAUAAGAAAAUACCUUCGAUUUAGUGAAACUUAAUUUAAUGGCUAUAGGCAUAUUGUUCAAUUAAGAAACUCGAAUUUAAGUACUUACUCUCCAAUCUCUCAACUAAAAACAUAUGUAAAUAAAAAAAGUACUCCUAUCUAUUGAAUGAACAUUAUUUCUGUGAACUGUGCAGUACUCAGUUUUUGGGUCCAUACUGACAAUUGGAGGAAUGAUAGGUGCAAUUAUAAGUGGGAAGAUAGCUGAUGUUGUCGGUCGGAGACGAGUAAUUAAAUCUUUUUCAAGAACCCUAUUAAUUAAGUUUAAUUAAAAUCUGCAUGCAGUCUUGAAUCAGUUAAUUAAUUUGGUGUUCAUUUGAAGCAGACAAUGUUAUUAGCAGAAUUAUUCUGCACUCCAGGGUGCCUUGCAAUAGCAUUUGCCAAGGAUGCAUGGUGGCUGGAUAUUGGAAGACUGUUGAUUGGACUUGGAGUAGGGCUUCUUACUUAUGUGGUACCUGUAUACGUGGCAGAAAUUACACCUAAGAACCUCAGAGGACGAUUUACGUCAGCCAAUCAGAUGUUAACUAGUUGUGGCUUUGCAUUCUCAUACUGUAUUGGAAAUAUAAUUUCUUGGCGCACCUUGGCUCUACUUGGUUCUAUUCCAUGCCUGUUGCAACUUCUGGGUUUAUUUUUUAUUCCUGAGUCUCCUAGAUGGCUGGCGAAACGUGGCAGAGAAAAAGAAUUUGAAGCUUCUUUGCAACAUCUUUGGGGAAAAAAUGCAGAUGUAUCUGUAGAAGCAAUGGAUAUAAGAGAUAUUAUCGAAAGCUUUCAACACAAUUCAGAAGGCAAUGCUCUUGACUUGUUCCAGAGGAGAUAUUGUUAUUCGAUCAUUGUUGGAGUAGGGCUAAUGUUACUGCAACAAUUUGGAGGGAACAGUGGCGUGGUAUAUUAUAGCAGUACCAUAUUUGCGGAAGCUGAUUUUUCUACAAUUCUUGGAACUACAGCGUUAGCUAUUAUAUUGGUAUGUACUUGAUUUUGUGCUUAGCUCGCGUUCAAAUAUUAUAGCUCCCAGAAAAUGUUUUGCAGCUGGUAGCAGCUACUGUGAGUCUACUCCUAAUGGAUAUAUUUGGAAGACGAACUCUCCUGAUGGUUUCUUCUGGAGGAACAUGCUUGUUCUUGUGCCUAGUUGGAUUAUCAUUCUUAUUGAAGGAACAUGGAUAUUUGAAGGAGCUCACUCCAUUUAUGGCAUUUGCUGGCUUAUUGGUAACUCAAAUUGGUGGUUGAUAAAACUGAAAAUUAAAACUUAAAAUAUUAUCAAAUAAAUCUUAAAAAAAAAGAAAUACUAUUUCAAGUGUUAUAAUUGUGUUAUGACAUUACAAUCUCGAUUGAUACGGCUGCGAGCAGGGUUAUCUCGCAGCUUUUGGAGUAGGCAUAUCAGGAAUACCAUGGGUUAUCAUGUCAGAGAUAUUUCCUCUAAGUGUCAAGGCCUCAGCUGGAAGCCUAGUUACCUUAACCAAUUGGUCCUGCUCCUGGCUUGUGUCUUACACAUUCAACUUUAUGAUGGAAUGGAGCUCUGCAGGCACAUUUUUCAUCUUUGCGACUAUGUGUGGUUUCACUGUUUUAUUUGUUUGGAAGUUGGUGCCAGAGACCAAAGGACGAACAUUGGAAGAAAUUCAAGCAAAAAUGGUUUUUAAUCCACAAGACAUAUGAUGAGUUAUUUUUUUUUUUUAAUGUAAUUGUAAAUUA